AUGGCUUCUGUAACAACGCAAAUGAGAGGUCCAACCUGCCCAGUGACCAAGAGUUAAACGGCCGCGGUAUCUUAACCGUGCUAAGGUAGCGUAAUCACUUGUCUUUUAAAUGAAGACCUGUAUGAAAGGCAUUACGAGGGCCCAACUGUCUCCUACUUCAUGUCAGUGAAAUUGAUCUGUCCGUGCAGAAGCGGACAUAUUUACAUAAGACGAGAAGACCCUGUGGAGCUUAAGAUAUAAAAUUAAUCGCGCCUAGAAGCUAACAAGCCCAAGGGUCCUAAACAUCAAACAAGCAUAGCGACCAUAAUUACACCUAUCUUCGGUUGGGGCGACCAUGGGGGAUAAAAAAGCCUCCAAGAAGAAGCAGGGAGUCGACUACACAACUCCUAAGAACCAAGAGCCACACCUCUAAGUAACAGAAAAUUCUGACUAAUAAUGACCCAGGCCAAGCCUGAUUAACGAACCAAGUUACCCCAGGGAUAACAGCGCAAUCCUUUCCCAGAGCCCAUAUCGCCGAAAGGGUUUACGACCUCGAUGUUGGAUCAGGACAUCCUGGUGGCGAAAAUUUUACCAAGGGUUCGUUUGUUCAACGAUAAAGUCCUACGUGA
Molecule: ribosomal RNA, 608 nt
Filed under: Notopterus notopterus (bronze featherback)
Lineage: Eukaryota; Metazoa; Chordata; Actinopteri; Osteoglossiformes; Notopteridae
Description: partial 16S ribosomal RNA
Rfam family: Bacterial large subunit ribosomal RNA
Source: RNAcentral